UACGUAGGGACCAAGCGUUGUCCGGAAUCAUUGGGCGUAAAGAGCGUGUAGGCGGCUUGUUAAGUCUUGCGUGAAAUCUCGGGGCUCAACCCCGAGCGGUCGUGAGAAACUGGCAGGCUAGAGUGCGGGAGAGGAGAGUGGAAUUCCUGGUGUAGCGGUGAAAUGCGCAGAUAUCGGGAGGAACACCAGCGGCGAAGGCGGCACUCUGGGCUGGUACUGACGCUCAGGAGCGAAAGCGUGGGUAGCGAACAGG
Molecule: ribosomal RNA, 253 nt
Filed under: uncultured bacterium
Lineage: Bacteria
Description: partial 16S ribosomal RNA
Rfam family: Bacterial small subunit ribosomal RNA
Source: RNAcentral